CGGGGCGUAGCGCAGCCUGGUAGCGCACCUGCUUUGGGAGCAGGGAGUCGGAGGUUCGAAUCCUCUCGCCCCGA
Nitrospirae bacterium 13_2_20CM_62_7 is the source of this 74-nucleotide non-coding RNA. NCBI's taxonomy places the organism in Bacteria, Pseudomonadati, Nitrospirota. The record is from Rfam.